Molecule: small RNA, 165 nt
Filed under: human gut metagenome
Description: Clostridiales-1 RNA
Rfam family: Clostridiales-1 RNA
Source: RNAcentral
GAUACCAGGGUCGAAAAGUCUGAAGUCCACAUGAGCUUGUUCAUUUGUGGACGACAGACUUUGAGACCCGCCCCGAUAUGAGCAUAAAAGUGGAAUGAUAAUUCCACGAUAUGCGAAUAUCGGGCAGGGGUGUGGGAGUGCAUAGCACGAAACACCCCGUAAGGU